UUUUUCCAGUGAAACAAAACGUAAGAAUCUGAGUUUGUUUUUCAAAGAUCACUAAAUUUUAGUUAUGAUUAUAUCACAUUUUCCAAAAUGUGUGGCAGUUUUUGCCCUCCUUGCUCUGAGUGUUGGUGCACUGGACACUUUUAUUGCUGCAGUAUAUGAGCAUGCGGUGAUAUUACCAAACAGAACAGAAACACCUGUUUCAAAAGAAGAAGCUUUGCUCCUGAUGAACAAGAACAUAGAUGUUUUGGAGAAAGCAGUUAAGCUGGCAGCGAAGCAGGGUGCACAUAUCAUUGUGACCCCAGAAGAUGGAAUCUAUGGUUGGAUCUUCACCAGGGAGAGCAUUUACCCCUAUCUAGAGGAUAUACCAGACCCUGGAGUGAACUGGAUUCCAUGUAGAGACCCCUGGAGUACAAUCUUUUUGCACCUGAAAUUCAGUUUGAUUUCCCCAAGGAUUCAGAACUUGUGACUUUUGACACUCCCUUUGGGAAGUUUGGCAUUUUUACUUGCUUUGACAUUUUUUCUCAUGACCCAGCUGUGGUGGUGGUGGAUGAGUUUCAAUUGACAGCAUUCUCUACCCCACAGCAUGGUACAACACGCUGCCCCUCCUCUCGGCUGUUCCCUUCCAUUCAGCAUGGGCCAAGGCCAUGGGAGUCAAUCUACUUGCUGCAAAUACCCACAACACCAGCAUGCACAUGACAGGGAGUGGAAUCUACGCCCCAGAAGCAGUCAAGGUGUACCACUAUGACAUGGAAACAGAGAGUGGUCAGCUGUUGCUAUCAGAACUGAAGUCUCGGCCCCGCCGUGAGCCCACCUACCCUGCAGCUGUUGACUGGCAUGCGUAUGCCAGCAGUGUCAAGCCAUUUUCCUCUGAACAGUCAGAUUUUCUGGGGAUGAUUUAUUUUGAUGAGUUUACCUUCACCAAGCUUAAGAGAAAUACAGGAAAUUACACAGCUUGCCAGAAAGAUCUGUGUUGUCACUUAACUUACAAGAUGUCUGAGAAGCGAACAGACGAGAUCUAUGCCCUAGGUGCUUUUGAUGGACUGCACACAGUAGAAGGCCAAUAUUACUUACAGAUAUGUGCAUUACUGAAGUGUCAAACCACUGACCUGGAAACGUGUGGAGAACCUGUGGGGUCAGCUUUUACCAAGUUUGAAGACUUCUCCCUCAGUGGCACAUUUGGAACGCGUUAUGUUUUCCCACAGAUCAUUCUAAGUGGGAGUCAGCUUGCCCCUGAAAGACAUUAUGAGAUUUCAAGAGAUGGACGCUUGAGGAGCCGAAGUGGAGCCCCUUUGCCUGUCUUAGUUAUGGCCCUGUAUGGAAGAGUGUUUGAGAAGGACCCUCCACGCUUAGGGCAGGGAUCUGGGAAAUUCCAGUGAUCUCCUUUAGCAGAGCCCUUUUAGGAUUAGCCUGGCUAAGAAAGGAAGAAAAAAAAGAGAUCCGUUAGUGUCUGUUUAGAAAAGAUGUUAUAAACUUACAGAAACAAAUAUAAUAAACUGAAGCAGAUUUGAAAAGCAA
This is a long non-coding RNA of Homo sapiens (human), 1515 nucleotides long. Ensembl annotates it as vanin 3, pseudogene. Its record names the gene VNN3P. The record is from Ensembl. NCBI's taxonomy places the organism in Eukaryota, Metazoa, Chordata, Mammalia, Primates, Hominidae.